This 726-nucleotide long non-coding RNA is filed under the name Gallus gallus (chicken). The record is from RNAcentral. Lineage: Eukaryota; Metazoa; Chordata; Aves; Galliformes; Phasianidae.
UGAGGGUGGCAGCUGCUGCAAAAGCCCCAUAACAGCUGACAUGCCCACAACUAUCUAUUAUUUUGCUUCAUGAAGAAUGGGGAAAUAUGAGAAAAAAUGAGGUUGUGCAGAGGGGACAGAGCCAGUAAACCCGGACAGAGGGAAAGGCAGAGGGCUGCGUGCAGUAGGGCUGGCGGAUGAUGCCUGCCCCUCCUGAAGACACAGAACACACGCAGGAGCUCCGUGGUGUUGACUGAAAUCCCUGUCAGCUGCAGUGCUCGACUUCCCCGAGAUGGUGACCUGUGCUAUUCUGACUGUGUCUUCUGCGUCCAUGGAUGAUGAAGAGAGACAGAGCACACAGUGCUCGGAGGGGCUACAUCCGCAGAGGGGAAGGUACAUGCCGGAGUGUAAUGAGGCAUUGGCCUCCAGUGAACUUUUCCAUCACAGGAGAAUAUUUCAAUGUUAAAGAUGAUUUGCUACAAACAAGAAGGAGAGGAGAUGCAGCCGUAACAUAAAAUGCCAUAUCUAAGAGACUGUGCAAUCUCUUUGCACUGCUAAAAUGAGAGAAGUGAAGUAGAGGUCCUGCUGACAUCACUGCUCAAAUUCUCCAUUUGUCCAAGAUUACAUGGGGGAACUUCCACUGAAACAAAAAGCCCAUAUAUAUAUAUAUAUGUAUGUAUAUCUAUCUGUAUAUAUGUUUGUGAAACAAUUUCUACUACUUAAAUAUCUCUGAUAAAUUAACAGAGC